Juglans regia (Persian walnut) is the source of this 1004-nucleotide long non-coding RNA. RefSeq lists it as uncharacterized. Lineage: Eukaryota; Viridiplantae; Streptophyta; Magnoliopsida; Fagales; Juglandaceae. The transcript has 3 exons. The record is from RefSeq and is a predicted model, not a curated record.
GAGGAGGACCCGUACGGGCACUUUUGAAGUGGAUGGUGACACGUGAAACUCUGACCACCUAGCAAUAGGGAACGUUUUUGUCUUAGGAGUGUUUGGAUGAGGAUCGAGACCUAAUCUUCGGAGGGUACUCAUCUUGCAGUGCCAUGGCGAUGUCGUUAUGAUCACAUGAUCGUUAUUUAUUUGUCUAAAUCUGCAUGUGCAGCUAAUUAUAAUUUGCAAAAGGACCUAGCAGUUUUGGAGAUUUGACUCUUGAUCACGUCAUUUGCAUCAACCGCCCGAGUGGCAUUUGAAAACUACGAUCCGAUCAAAACCCAAUCUAUACGCACAGAAGCUGGAGCUUCACAGCGGGGUGAAACAGUUCCCUACAUGAUCUCCUUCCAUAUAUAUGGAUCACGUACCUUAUUGUUGGAAUGCUGCCCGUCUGGGAACUUACACUUUCAGGUAUGAUUUCAGGAUAUUAAUGGCUAUCGUAUGGAACUGUUGGUCAAUGUUUCUGCGAGCUCAACGCUAACCUGUUUGGGUCCCGAGGAAUGACCAAAGCUGCCUUCCCGCGACGUCACCUCUUCCCAAAUCUGUAACGAUAAUUCUCACAUUUGGUUGGUUGUACAUCUUAUGUAAUGCCACUUAAUCAGAGAAAAAACCAGAACAGGACUGUAGGUUAAAGAAAAAUAAGAAUUCUUCAAGCAUCCACUCAUUAAAGAAGUCUAGAAAUACAACGGCACACCGAUCUGAAGAGUUUUUAUUAGAGAAGACUGCCCUUUUCAAGGAUUACCCCUUUUUGAGCAGUAGCAGUAGCAGCAGCACAGUGGUUAUACAUAGUAAUAGUAGUAGUAGCUUAUAAUAGUCCAAGGUGUUUCUGCCGACUCCUUGCACAAUCUAUUCGGUCCUCGAUCACAGUGGUUACGUAGCUUUAAUUGCCUUCACAUGCCCACUGUCCCCAAUAUGAAAUGGAAAUGCUCCAUCCCCUCAUGUACACAGCUGGUGUCAAUAUCAUGUAGAAAAUU